AAUAAGCGGAGGAAAAGAAACCAACAGGGAUUGCCCUAGUAACGGCGAGUGAAGCGGCAACAGCUCAAAUUUGAAAUCUGGCCUCGGCCCGAGUUGUAAUUUGCAGAGGAUGCUUCUGGCGCGGUGCCUUCCGAGUUCCCUGGAACGGGACGCCACAGAGGGUGAGAGCCCCGUAUGGUCGGACACCAAGCCUGUGUGAAGCUCCUUCGACGAGUCGAGUAGUUUGGGAAUGCUGCUCUAAAUGGGAGGUAAAUCUCUUCUAAAGCUAAAUACCGGCCAGAGACCGAUAGCGCACAAGUAGAGUGAUCGAAAGAUGAAAAGCACCUUGAAAAGGGGGUUAAAUAGUACGUGAAAUUGUUGAAAGGGAAGCACUUAUGACCAGACUUGGGCCGGGCGGCUCAUCAGGGGUUCUCCCCUGUGCACUCCGCCCGGCACAGGCCAGCAUCGGUUUUCGCGGGGGGAUAAGACCGGCGGGAACGUAGCACCCUCCGGGGUGUGUUAUAGCCCGUCGGACGAUACCCUCGCGGGGACCGAGGUCCGCGCUCCGCAAGGAUGCUGGCGUAAUGGUCAUCAGUGACCCGUCUUGAAACACGGACCAAGGAGUCGUCCAUUAGAGCGAGCGUUUGGGUGCAAAACCCGCACGCGUAAUGAAAGUGAACGCAGGUGAGAGCUUCGGCGCAUCAUCGACCGAUCCUGAUGUUCUCGGAAGGAUUUGAGUAAGAGUUUUAACGGACGGACCCGAAAGACAGUGAACUAUGCUUGUAUAGGGUGAAGCCAGAGGAAACUCUGGUGGAGGCUCGCAGCGGUUCUGACGUGCAAAUCGAUCGUCAAAUAUGAGCAUGGGGGCGAAAGACUAAUCGA
RNAcentral lists this ribosomal RNA (861 nucleotides) under Diaporthe arezzoensis. RNAcentral describes it as "Diaporthe sp. WJL-2020a partial large subunit ribosomal RNA". It matches the Rfam family "Eukaryotic large subunit ribosomal RNA", at positions 45 to 938 of the family's 3401-position model. The record is from RNAcentral. Lineage: Eukaryota; Fungi; Ascomycota; Sordariomycetes; Diaporthales; Diaporthaceae.